This 48-nucleotide non-coding RNA is filed under the name Schistosoma curassoni. Lineage: Eukaryota; Metazoa; Platyhelminthes; Trematoda; Strigeidida; Schistosomatidae. The record is from RNAcentral.
AUCCAGCUGAUGAGUCCAAAAUAGGACGAAACGCACGUCAAGCUAGAU